UCCCUGCAAAACCAUAGUGUUACUGUGCGAUGGAAUGAUACACAGAUUUUUAAAAUAAAAACAUGAAAUAGGUUAAAGUAAAUCGACACUAUCUCACACAAAUAUCAACCCAAAACCAAAAUGGCUGUCUGUUUAUUUUAGUUAGAUGAGAGAUCAAGUGUAAACAUGGAUAUCAGAUAUUACCCAGUAGCAUCUGUGGUUGCUAGAUAUACUAUGGAGUACAGAGAGAAAGCAUUAUGACUUGUUAAAGUGACUUAGAAGGGAUACAUCACAUUGGUCAAAUCUUGGAUACACAGGGCAUCAAAACUUUGCAGCUCGUACAAAGCUAAUGCAAGCCAUUGUGCUUAGACACAUACUGCCACUGACGCUCCAAAGUUGCUGAAGGCACAGGCAACGGUAAAAAGUGAUUGACGGGAGGUAGCAGCAUACUAGUAUGUACUCCAAUGGAGGGAGGGAGGUUAGGCAGCAUAGUAUGUACUUCAAUGGACAAAGUAUAUAUAGGAUGGGGACAAUGGACAAAGUAUAUAUAGGAUGGGAAUGCAUGGGGCACGCCACAGGGUAGGGGAAAACUAUUGAGAUGCAAGAGCAUAUGCUGUGCGACAAGAUAGUCUAACGAAAUGACCAUAACCUUCAAUAUGGCAAGAAAAGUAAGAAUGGAAGUAAUAUAUCACCUUCCUCCACUAGGAGAUGUAUUGCCCUUUUCUCCAGCUCAAUCGCAUGCAUGCUUCGCCCAGCUGCCGAAAGGGACCUAAGCUCUGAAAUCAACAGAAGGGAAUCAGGAUUAUGCGAGGGGAAAAUCUCGAAGUUACAAAGGUGUUAACAAACUUAUUACUUCGCAAAUACCCCUCCUGGGUCGAAUGAUCACAGCUCUCCAAAUAUGUUUGCAAUCGAUUAAAUCUCUCGUUCCAGUAUUGUAUGUUUAAUGGUUUCACAUCCUCUUGAAUUGCAGUGCCAGAAGCAGCUGGUAGCUCAGUUUUC
Molecule: long non-coding RNA, 978 nt
Organism: Panicum virgatum (switchgrass)
Lineage: Eukaryota; Viridiplantae; Streptophyta; Magnoliopsida; Poales; Poaceae
Exons: 2
Source: RefSeq, a predicted model, not a curated record